RNAcentral lists this ribosomal RNA (217 nucleotides) under Armadillidium album. Its description in RNAcentral is "partial 12S ribosomal RNA". The record is from RNAcentral. Lineage: Eukaryota; Metazoa; Arthropoda; Malacostraca; Isopoda; Armadillidiidae.
AAACAAGGAUUAGAUACCCUUCUAUUCAUGGGCCAAAUCACUUAAGGUAGUAGUUGAUAUAGACUUGAAACCUAAAGGAUAUGGCGGUGUUUAAUCUAAUCAAGGAACCUGUCCUAUAAACGAUAAUCCACGGUAGUUUUUAGUUUGUAUACCGUCGUCUAAACCUCUUUUGCAAAAGAGAAAUUAGUUAUAAGUAAGUCAGAUCUAGGCGCAGCUU